This 253-nucleotide ribosomal RNA is filed under the name uncultured bacterium. RNAcentral describes it as "partial 16S ribosomal RNA". It matches the Rfam family "Bacterial small subunit ribosomal RNA", at positions 524 to 776 of the family's 1533-position model. The record is from RNAcentral.
UACAGGGGGUGCAAACGUUGCUCGGAAUUAUUGGGCGUAAAGCGCGCGUAGGCGGCUACUUAAGUCGGAUGUGAAAGCCCCUGGCUUAACUGGGGAAGUGCACCCGAAACUGAGUAGCUAGAGUACGAAAGAGGGUCGCGGAAUUCCCGGUGUAGAGGUGAAAUUCGUAGAUAUUGGGAAGAACACCAGUGGCGAAGGCGGCUCACUGGCCCGUAACUGACGCUGAGGUGCGAAAGCGUGGGGAGCAAACAGG